Molecule: long non-coding RNA, 586 nt
Organism: Larimichthys crocea (large yellow croaker)
Lineage: Eukaryota; Metazoa; Chordata; Actinopteri; Sciaenidae
Exons: 6
Source: RefSeq, a predicted model, not a curated record
UUAACAAAAGUCAGUAAAGAAAAAUAUUUUCUAACUUCCAACGACAGAAAGACGAAAGAAGCACGCGGAGAAAGUUAAUUAAAGGUUCCUCCUGCCACUUUGGGCUUUCAGACCUGCAACUGUCCUGUCACCAGCCAACUUUUCCUGCCCUCAGGCUCCCAAGUCAUGGCCUAUUUCCUGACCGCUUAGAGAUUUGCUGGUUGGAUGGAAGUGUACUCAACAGGCUUUCAGUGCAGGAUGACCUGCUGGCUUUCACAACAUGGGCAGAAAGAUCAGCAGCUCGUGGCGGCUGGUGGAAUCCGGUGGGCGAAUGAAACGCAACAGCUGAUGUUUUCAUGAUGCAAUCCCGGCAUAAAGUGGACAAACCGCAACUGUAAGAUUUCCUGUAAGCGAGGAGUCUUCCCAGAAAAAGGGCCCUGUCCAGACACAGCAGAUACUCUGAAGACUCUGAAGUUCAAUACCAGGUCACACCAGCAGGUUGACCAGAAUCCACCUCCAGUGUGCCUGAAGACCCUGAAGGACCUCGAUGAUGCUGGGUGGAGCAGCCUGCGAGCAAGCUUAACAGGUUAGUUUUCCUGCAUUACAG